CCUACGGGAGGCAGCAGUGGGGAAUAUUGGUCAAUGGGCGCAAGCCUGACCCAGCAACGCCGCGUGAAGGAAGAAGGCUUUCGGGUUGUAAACUUCUUUUGACAGGGAAGAGCAGAAGACGGUACCUGUCGAAUAAGCCACGGCUAACUACGUGCCAGCAGCCGCGGGAAUACGUAGGUGGCAAGAGUUGUCCGGAUUGCCUGGGUUUACAGGGGGCGCAGACGGCGAUGCAAGCCAGGAGUGAAAGCCCGGUGCCCAACCCCGGGACUGCUCUUGGAACUGCGUGGCUGGAGUGAAGGAGGGGCAGGCGGAAUUCGUGGUGUAGCGGUGAAAUGCGUAGAUAUCAGGAGGAACACCGGUGGCGAAGGCGGCCUGCUGGACUGCAACUGACGUUGAGGCCCGAAAGCGUGGGGAGCAAACAGGAUUAGAUACCCGUGUAGUC
RNAcentral lists this ribosomal RNA (442 nucleotides) under uncultured bacterium. RNAcentral's name for it is "partial 16S ribosomal RNA". It matches the Rfam family "Bacterial small subunit ribosomal RNA", at positions 338 to 795 of the family's 1533-position model. The record is from RNAcentral.